RNAcentral lists this ribosomal RNA (458 nucleotides) under uncultured bacterium. RNAcentral describes it as "bacterial SSU rRNA". It matches the Rfam family "Bacterial small subunit ribosomal RNA", at positions 29 to 532 of the family's 1533-position model. The record is from RNAcentral.
AACGAACGCUGGCGGCAUGCCUAACACAUGCAAGUCGAACGAACCCUUCGGGGUUAGUGGCGCACGGGUGCGUAACGCGUGGGGAUCUGCCCAAAGGUUCGGAAUAACUCAGAGAAAUUUGAGCUAAUACCGGAUAAUGUCUUCGGACCAAAGAUUUAUUGCCUUUGGAUGAACCCGCGUAGGAUUAGCUUGUUGGUGGGGUAAAGGCCUACCAAGGCGACGAUCCUUAGCUGGUCUGAGAGGAUGAUCAGCCACACUGGGACUGAGACACGGCCCAGACUCCUACGGGAGGCAGCAGUGGGGAAUAUUGGACAAUGGGCGAAAGCCUGAUCCAGCAAUGCCGCGUGAGUGAUGAAGGCCUUAGGGUUGUAAAGCUCUUUUACCAGGGAUGAUAAUGACAGUACCUGGAGAAUAAGCUCCGGCUAACUCCGUGCCAGCAGCCGCGGUAAAGUAGACGU